AGCGAACGCUGGCGGCAGGCCUAACACAUGCAAGUCGAACGCACCUUCGGGUGAGUGGCGGACGGGUGAGUAACACGUGGGAACGUACCCUUAGGUUCGGAAUAACGCAGGGAAACUUGCGCUAAUACCGAAUGUGCCCUUCGGGGAAGGAUUUAUCGCCUUUAGUAGCGGCCCGCGUUAGAUUAGCUAGUUGGUGGGGUAAGUGGCUCACCAAGGCUACGAUCUAUAGCUGGUCUGAGAGGAUGAUCAGCCACACUGGGACUGAGACACGGCCCAAACUACCUACGGGAGGCAGCAGUGGGGAAGUCUUGCGCAAUGGGCGAAAGCCUGACGCAGCAACGCCGCGUGAGGGAUGAAGGCUCUCGGGUUGUAAACCUACUUUCAGCAGGAACGAAAAUAGACGGUACCUGCAGAAGAAGCUCCGGCCAACUACGUGCCAGCAGCCGCUGUAAU
This 453-nucleotide ribosomal RNA is filed under the name uncultured bacterium. RNAcentral's name for it is "bacterial SSU rRNA". It matches the Rfam family "Bacterial small subunit ribosomal RNA", at positions 29 to 524 of the family's 1533-position model. The record is from RNAcentral.